Molecule: RNA transcript, 2461 nt
Organism: Choloepus didactylus (southern two-toed sloth)
Lineage: Eukaryota; Metazoa; Chordata; Mammalia; Pilosa; Megalonychidae
Gene: CCDC24
Gene name: coiled-coil domain containing 24
Exons: 5
Source: RefSeq, a predicted model, not a curated record
CCCCGCCUCAUAGCGGAAAGAUUUCCCCUGCCGCUGCCUCCGGGCCAGUGGAGGCGAGGAAGUUUUUCUCUGGUCUCCCGGCCGCAACGCGGCCCGUUCCCUAGGAAGCCCCUUGCGCCCCGAGAGAGCCUGAGAUGCUUGGGUUCGGGGCUCUGGAUGGUUCGGGCUCCCUCCUACCGCCGCACCCGCGGUGGGUGCCGACUCUCCGCGAGCUGGCACCGCCCUCCUGACCUGGAAUGGGCGGGGCCUGGGGGCGCGUCACGGUUUCCCCGGUGACGGACGCGCUGAAGGGGUGGGGCUGGAGUCCCGGUUCCCACUGCCCAGCUCCCGGAGGCCGUGAUCGGGAACCGUGGCCCCAGAAGGUCUGGCGGAAGCGAGACCAGAGAAGAGACAGCGCCGGAGACCGGGGGAUCUGGAUCCGGUCUGAGGCUGGGGCCACGCGUCGGAGGGCGGCAGUGCGCGUGGGCCAUGCCUGGGGAUUCCCGGUCGCUGUGGGAGCUGGUGGAGGAGCACGUGCCACUCCCGGAGCGGUCCGAAGUGAAGAUGAUCUUGGGGGAGGCGGCGGUGGACCUGAGCCUGGAGCUGCGGGCGGAGGUGGGACUGGGAAGGUGGGCCACACCUCAGAUCUGCCCUCGGCCCGGAUAACUUACCUAUCUCUUCUGGGUCCCGAGUCCUGCACCGGUACUCCCCAGACGUCGGAUCUCACUGCCCGCCUUUGCCCUCUGCCCAUUGACAUUCACCUACCCCGCCCCCCACACACACACACCCCACCUCCCUCACUCCCCAGUUGCAAGGUGUCCCAGCUCUCCUUGCAGGUGAUGUUGCUGCAGACACUGCUCCGAGAGGCUCGAUCCUCCCAAGCCGCUGACUCCUGCCCCACCUCUGACCCCUGUUCCCUUCUGGCACCAUCACCCCCCCUAAGGGACCUCAUACGCCAGGAACUCCGGCAGCUGCUCCAAGCACUGCGCCAUAAGGCCAUCUGUGAGGGCAGGGACCAGGCCCAGGCUUGGGCCAAAUAUAGCCACAGGGUCCUGCGCUUUGCCUUGGGGAAGUCCAGGAGUGAUUUGCCAGAGCAGGAGAUAUUCCGGAUGAGAGCAGGUGAACAAAGGGGAAGUAGCAAUUGCGUACUGAAGGCCUGGGGUGACGCAAGACGAGGAGAGUGAUGUUGACUUCAUCUGCCAGCAGCAGGCACAGGGACCUCAGUGACAUCAAGGACCAACUGAACGUGUCCGACAUCGACCGGGUUGCUGGGCACCUGCGGUGAGGCCCAGGGGUACCUCAGUGGUGGAGAUGGGGAGGAUGGGAGUCACGGUGGAUCUUGAAGCACUGGGACCAUGAGAUAGCAGAAAGCUGGAGGCGUACUUGGUGGGGAGUCCCAUGGGUGUAAGGCUAAGAGGUGGACCUUGCAUGCAGCUGUGGAGCCCAUUGGUGAGGUUGGUACCAGGAAGUAGGCCCUAGGGUUUUUAUUCUGACACAGUGGGGAGCCACAGAAGGGUUUUAAGCAAGGGAAGGGCUGUGGCCUGGAGGAGAAUGGAGGCAGGAACAGUUGCAGGUUCAGCACAAUUGUGCAGACGGAGGAUGGAGCCUGCCGGGGUAGGGUUGUGAGGUAGCAAGGAAAGGACACACCCUGCCCAGGAAGAAGCUGGUGGGAGCCAGAAGGCUGUAUGGUGGCAGUACCCAGGCAGCAGGGGGCCAUGGGACUGAGAAAGGAGGGGCUGGAGGGGGCUUCUGGUGAGGCUGCAGAUUGGGGCUGUGUGGAGGGCAAGGCUUCUCUGCUCAGCUGAGAAACAGCCCAUGGCACUGCUUCUGGCUGUCCCACCCCCUCAUAUCCCAGAGGCCUCCUGGAGGAGGAGUGUCACACCUUGGAGAGGAAGAUCUCCAUCCUGCAGGUGAGUUGCAGCCUGGGCCUCACCCCGGAGCCUUUCUGCUGAGCAUAGACACACAUGCAUCUCACCUGGGUGUAUGAGGUUCGUGGACAUGGGUGCAAUGGAAAAGUUGUGUGAGUCCUGUGUCCAUUUCUCAUGUGUGCACACUUGUGUGUGUGUGUGACUCCUGGAAGCCCAGGAUUCUGGUUGAGCCCCAAGUCCAGAGCCAGCUGUUUUAACCUGUUGGAUUCCCCCCAGGUCUUUGGCCUCCUUCACUUAGCUGAGUCCAUGUAUGCGACCAGCCACAAGCUCGCUGAACUCGAGCUCGGCUUUUCAGUGGGGCUGGUGUUCCCCAGUGGGGGCUGCCCUCAUGGUGGUUGGGAUGAGGGGGCUGUGUGGGCUUGUGCCCCAAGGCUGCCCUCCUUGUGUCCUGGGCCAUGCCCUAGGGAUCUUGGCCUGUGUACCCACCCCUGUCUUAAGGCUGGGCACUGACCCAGCUCUGCCUGCAGCGCUGCCUGGAAGAGGAGUACACACAGGCUCCCCAGCCCUCCGAGGCAACCCCAGAGCCCACCUUGGAAGAACUAAAGGAGCAAAAG